RNAcentral lists this long non-coding RNA (629 nucleotides) under Mus spicilegus (steppe mouse). RNAcentral's name for it is "lncRNA (ENSMSIG00000003117.1)". The record is from RNAcentral. Lineage: Eukaryota; Metazoa; Chordata; Mammalia; Rodentia; Muridae.
AACAUUUAUAAUGGAAUAAAAAUUAUCAAAUUCCUAGGAAUGAAUCUAAUAAUGCCAUGGACUCUACACUGAAAUAUCUAACAUGAGUAAAAGAAGCAAAGAAGGUGAAUGGGGAAUCAGCCCAUGAGGAUGAACUGAAAACACAGCUGUUUUUUAAAAAACUUGAAGCAGGAACAAAGUAAUGUAUCACAGUGUAACAUCAAACCUCAAGGAUGAGCCAGGUCAAAAACAGUUGAGACAGAACUCCACUCCUCUCCUGCACCUAACAAUAGCCUAAAGGGAUCCUGUGUGCAUGGACAAAACAGAGGCAGAUGAUAGGAUAUUCUACCUAAAAGCAGAUAUUCUACAAAAGCAGAAAGCAAGCUCACUGUCCAUACUGAUCACAGCAAAGCGGCUGGACAAGAAUGCUUGGGUUCUGGAACUCAUCAGGGAAGAGGACCUGAGUUUGGUGCCAAGCACCCACACAGCAGGUCACACACAUUCAUAGCUCCAGGUCCAGGGAAUCUGAGGGCCUCUGCUGGUCUUCUAGGACACCAGACACACAAGUGGCACAGAAUCAAUCGUACAUGUAAGUAAACACCCAUACAAAGAAAAAUAAAAAUGUUAAUAAGCCAUUUUAUAGAUAUCUU